Molecule: ribosomal RNA, 443 nt
Filed under: uncultured bacterium
Lineage: Bacteria
Description: partial 16S ribosomal RNA
Rfam family: Bacterial small subunit ribosomal RNA
Source: RNAcentral
CCUACGGGUGGCAGCAGUGGGGAAUAUUGGGCAAUGGGCGCAAGCCUGACCCAGCAACGCCGCGUGAAGGAAGAAGGCUUUCGGGUUGUAAACUUCUUUUAUUAGGGACGAAGGAAGUGACGGUACCUGAUGAAUAAGCCACGGCUAACUACGGGCCAGCAGCCGCCGUAAUACGUAGGUGGCAAGCGUUUAACGGAUUUACUGGGUGUAAAGGGCGUGUAGGCGGGGGUGUAAGUCAGAUGUGAAAACUAUGGGCUCAACCCGUAGCCUGCAUUUGAAACUGUACUUCGUGAGUACUGGAGAGGCAAUCGGAAUUCCGGGUGUAGCGGUGAAAUGCGUAGAGAUACGGAGGAACACCAGUGGCGAAGGCGGAUUGCUGGACAGUAACUGACGCUGAGGCGCGAAAGCGUGGGGAGCAAACAGGAUUAGAUACCCGAGUAGUC